Long non-coding RNA from Haliotis rubra (blacklip abalone), 200 nucleotides. RefSeq lists it as uncharacterized. The transcript has 3 exons. The record is from RefSeq and is a predicted model, not a curated record. NCBI's taxonomy places the organism in Eukaryota, Metazoa, Mollusca, Gastropoda, Lepetellida, Haliotidae.
CCUAAAAACUGAGCCUGUACCGAUUUGUUUAAGGCACUUCGACACUUUGACAAUUAUGUCUGUAUCGUCCAGCUGAAUCAUGAACAAAACCAACAUCUGACAAAUAAAUGUUUGCGGAAGUGCACAAUGAAGUACCCCCACUUUGAUCAAACCACUCCCACACAUUAUAACUGAUACAUAUAAACGACAGUGAAACGAGC